AUGGCGGACGGCGAGUCGUACAAGUCUUGGUCAUGGUGGCUGGACGCGCUGCAGGCGAUGAGGAGGACGUACUCCAUCCCCAUGGACGCCAAUGAGGCCAGGAUACGCGAGGACGUAGAUUUCGACAACGCAAGGAGGAAGAUCGAGCACGCGAGGCGGCGGCUAAGCGCUCCCAGACCCGCGGCCAGGCCACGGCCUCGGCGGACGAAGCUGCUCGAGUUUGGCGCCUCCCCUCCCCUCCCCUCUGUGUGGUUCCGGGAGAGGAGAGGGCCGAGCGGAGGUGGAGGCGGUGUGGCGUUGGGGGCCAAGACGGGAGACCCCGAGGCGAAGGCGUACCGGCAGAGGCUGGACGGGGAGAAGCUGGAGAUGUACCAGAGGAUGUCCUCGGAGAGGGACGGUUGGUCGACGACGCCCGACCUGGAGGCCUACUUCGCUGCUUGCUAUCGCCAUAAAUGGAGCUGGGCGCAUCUGAGAGGCGCAGGUAGCUCCUACGAGGACACCACGGGCAUCCCUGCCAUGCGCUUCACCGACGCUGAGCCAGCUUGGGACGCCCACCCGACGGGGACUUUGCAGAUCUUUUCCUUCAAAGUCGCCGCAAUAGCAGACGAGCUGCGGUGGCCACUGGAGGUGUAUGGCUUGAUCGCGAUAAGAGACCACCUAGACCGCAGCCGCAAUAUUAUCUUUGCCCGCGGAAGGGAUAACUGCCAAACGAUCACAUCCAUGGAUCCAUACUUGACACUAGCAGGUCCAACUCGUGCUCCAGUGUUGUCUCAUGUGUCGGAUACUGAGGUUGCAACUAGCAAGCUAUCAAGAAUAGAGUGGGCAUUCGCCGUUCUCGCUAAAUCAGUGGAGGCUACAAUCAAUAUACAAGUUAUUCGUGGUUCUUGGCCAGAUGGUUGUCGAGGUAUAUUCAGUGCAAGCACAAUUAGUCUAGAUGGCAGGAAAGUCCCCCUUCUCUCUCUUGAAGAUGGCAAGUUGCCACUUACCACUGAUGAUGACUAA
This 1002-nucleotide ribosomal RNA is filed under the name Triticum aestivum (bread wheat). RNAcentral describes it as "partial small subunit ribosomal RNA". The record is from RNAcentral. Lineage: Eukaryota; Viridiplantae; Streptophyta; Magnoliopsida; Poales; Poaceae.